Molecule: long non-coding RNA, 426 nt
Organism: Oncorhynchus tshawytscha (Chinook salmon)
Lineage: Eukaryota; Metazoa; Chordata; Actinopteri; Salmoniformes; Salmonidae
Source: Ensembl
GUAGUUAGCCCAGAUCUGGAACUAGGCGGUAGGUAGCCCAGAUCUGGGACUAGGCUAGGUAGUAGUUAGCCCAGAUCUGGGACUAGGCUAGGUAGUAGUUAGCCCAGAUCUGGGACUAGGCUAGGUAGUAGUUAGCCCAGAUCUGGGACUAGGCUAGGUAGUAGUUAGCCCAGAUCUGGGACUAGGCUAGGUAGUAGUUAGCCCAGAUUUGGGACUAGGCAAGGUAGUAGUUAGCCCAGAUCUGGGACUAGGCUAGGUGGUAGUUAGCCCAGAUCUGGGACUAGGCUAGGUGGUAGUUAGCCCAGAUCUGGGACUAGGUUAGGUGGUAGUUAACUCGCUGCUCCAUCUGUGAUGGUUGAUACGGCUCCCUGGACUUUGUUGACAUCACUGAUGCAAGCCCACUGGCCGUCCGCUGACUCCUUCCAC